Molecule: ribosomal RNA, 481 nt
Filed under: uncultured bacterium
Lineage: Bacteria
Description: partial 16S ribosomal RNA
Rfam family: Bacterial small subunit ribosomal RNA
Source: RNAcentral
GACGAACGUUGGCGGCGUGCUUAAUACAUGCAAGUCGACUGAAGCAGUGGUAGCAAUAUCGCUGUGGAGGUGGCGCACGGGUGAGUAACACGUAGGUAAUCUGCCUUCAGGUCUGGCAUAACUCCGUGAAACCGGGGCUAAUAGCAGAUGAUGCAGCGGCUCGACAUCGAGACAGUUGUUAAAGCUAUGGCGCCUGAAGAUGAGCCUGCGUCUGAUUAGCUAGUUGGCGGGGUAACGGCCCAACAAGGCAACGGUCAGUAGCUGGUCUGAGAGGAUGAUCGGGAACAAUGGAACGGAGACACGGUCCAGACUCGUACGGGAGGCAGAAGUAAGGAAAAUGGCUCAAUGGGAGAAAUGCUGAAGCAGCAACGCCGCGUGGGGGACGAAGGGCUUUUGCUUGUAAACCUCUGUAGUGAGAGAAAAAAAUCCCAAUCUUUGGGACAUGAUGGUAUCUCAAAAGUAAGCCCCGGCUAACUACGUG